RNAcentral lists this long non-coding RNA (332 nucleotides) under Gossypium barbadense (sea-island cotton). RNAcentral describes it as "long non-coding RNA (GBAR_LNC005639)". The record is from RNAcentral. Lineage: Eukaryota; Viridiplantae; Streptophyta; Magnoliopsida; Malvales; Malvaceae.
GCAUGAUUCGAUUAAUAAAUUAAAUUAUUUAUUGAAUUAUUAUUUAUAUGAAAUUGAUUAUGUAUUCAAGGGUACUUAGUAUAUUAGGGAGUGACACUUCUAAUAGAAUAUUGAGACAGGUGAGACCGAAAGGGUACCUUGUCGUGUAUAACUUGUGCCAAGUGGUGAGACCAGAAGGGGAUCCAUAUGCCAAGGAAGAGACCGAAAGGAUGACUUAGGUGAUAAAUGGUAAUCCUUAGUUGUAGCUAAGGGUGAUCAAUAACUCAAUCUAGGAUAAUUAAUUAUUUAAUUAAGCAACCAAUGAUUUAAUCGAUCAUAGGAUAGAGGCCCGC